RNAcentral lists this ribosomal RNA (282 nucleotides) under uncultured Pseudomonas sp. Its description in RNAcentral is "partial 16S ribosomal RNA". It matches the Rfam family "Bacterial small subunit ribosomal RNA", at positions 1101 to 1382 of the family's 1533-position model. The record is from RNAcentral. Lineage: Bacteria; Pseudomonadati; Pseudomonadota; Gammaproteobacteria; Pseudomonadales; Pseudomonadaceae.
ACCCUUGUCCUUAGUUACCAGCACGUUAUGGUGGGCACUCUAAGGAGACUGCCGGUGACAAACCGGAGGAAGGUGGGGAUGACGUCAAGUCAUCAUGGCCCUUACGGCCUGGGCUACACACGUGCUACAAUGGUCGGUACAAAGGGUUGCCAAGCCGCGAGGUGGAGCUAAUCCCAUAAAACCGAUCGUAGUCCGGAUCGCAGUCUGCAACUCGACUGCGUGAAGUCGGAAUCGCUAGUAAUCGUGAAUCGGAAUGUCACGGUGAAUACGUUCCCGGGCCUU